GCGAUGAGCUAAUUUGCAUAAGUCAAUGGACAUUCGCUAUGCGAACGGAUGAAUGUGGUCAUCUGGUCCAUUGCCGCAAUACGCAGGAAAGACGUCUGUCUAUGACAGGCGU
Molecule: small RNA, 112 nt
Filed under: Bacillus tuaregi
Lineage: Bacteria; Bacillati; Bacillota; Bacilli; Caryophanales; Bacillaceae
Description: BsrF
Rfam family: BsrF
Source: RNAcentral